Molecule: ribosomal RNA, 460 nt
Filed under: uncultured bacterium
Lineage: Bacteria
Description: partial 16S ribosomal RNA
Rfam family: Bacterial small subunit ribosomal RNA
Source: RNAcentral
CCUACGGGAGGCUGCAGUGAGGAAUAUUGGUCAAUGGACGAGAGUCUGAACCAGCCAAGUAGCGUGAAGGAUGACUGCCCUAUGGGUUGUAAACUUCUUUUAUAAAGGAAUAAAACGAGGCACGUGUGCCUUUUUGCAUGUACUUUAUGAAUAAGGAUCGGCUAACUCCGUGCCAGCAGCCGCGGUAAUACGGAGGAUCCGAGCGUUAUCCGGAUUUAUUGGGUUUAAAGGGAGCGUAGAUGGGUUGUUAAGUCAGUUGUGAAAGUUUGCGGCUCAACCGUAAAAUUGCAAUUGAUACUGGCAGUCGUGAGUACAGUUGAGGUAGGCGGAAUGCGUGGUGUAGCGGUGAAAUGCUUAGAUAUCACGAAGAACCCCGAUUGCGAAGGCAGCUUACUAAACUGUGACUGACAUUGAUGCUCGAAAGUGUGGGUAUCAAACAGGAUUAGAUACCCUGGUAGUC